AUUGAACGCUGGCGGCAUGCUUUACACAUGCAAGUCGAACGGCAGCGCGGGCUUCGGCCUGGCGGCGAGUGGCGAACGGGUGAGUAAUGCAUCGGAACGUGCCCAGUAGUGGGGGAUAGCCCGGCGAAAGCCGGAUUAAUACCGCAUACGACCUGAGGGUGAAAGCGGGGGACCGAAAGGCCUCGCGCUAUUGGAGCGGCCGAUGUCGGAUUAGCUAGUUGGUGGGGUAAAGGCUUACCAAGGCGACGAUCCGUAGCUGGUCUGAGAGGACGACCAGCCACACUGGGACUGAGACACGGUCCAGACUCCUACGGGAGGCAGCAGUGGGGAAUUUUGGACAAUGGGGGCAACCCUGAUCCAGCCAUGCCGCGUGCGGGAAGAAGGCCUUCGGGUUGUAAACCGCUUUUGUUCGGGAAGAAAUCCUCUGGGCUAAUACCCCGGGGGGAUGACGGUACCGGAAGAAUAAGCACCGGCUAACUACGUG
Molecule: ribosomal RNA, 484 nt
Filed under: uncultured bacterium
Lineage: Bacteria
Description: partial 16S ribosomal RNA
Rfam family: Bacterial small subunit ribosomal RNA
Source: RNAcentral